GUGCCCAUGAUGUAGCGGUAGCCUACCGCCUUGCCAUGGCGGACGUGCGGGUUCGACUCCCGCUGGGCACU
RNAcentral lists this transfer RNA (71 nucleotides) under Tautonia sociabilis. It matches the Rfam family "tRNA". Rfam says of the family: Transfer RNA (tRNA) molecules are approximately 80 nucleotides in length. Their secondary structure includes four short double-helical elements and three loops (D, anti-codon, and T loops). Further hydrogen bonds mediate the characteristic L-shaped molecular structure. tRNAs have two regions of fundamental functional importance: the anti-codon, which is responsible for specific mRNA codon recognition, and the 3' end, to which the tRNAs corresponding amino acid is attached (by aminoacyl-tRNA synthetases). tRNAs cope with the degeneracy of the genetic code in two manners: having more than one tRNA (with a specific anti-codon) for a particular amino acid; and 'wobble' base-pairing, i.e. permitting non-standard base-pairing at the 3rd anti-codon position. RNAcentral also lists the same sequence under 2 other names. Lineage: Bacteria; Pseudomonadati; Planctomycetota; Planctomycetia; Isosphaerales; Isosphaeraceae. The record is from Rfam by way of RNAcentral.